AAAGAACCCCGGCGAGGGGAGUGAAAAAGAACCUGAAACCGUGUACGUACAAGCAGUGGGAGCACAGGUUUACCUGUGUGACUGCGUACCUUUUGUAUAAUGGGUCAGCGACUUAUAUUCUGUAGCAAGGUUAACCGUAUAGGGGAGCCGUAGGGAAACCGAGUCUUAACCGGGCGUUAAGUUGCAGGGUAUAGACCCGAAACCCGGUGAUCUAGCCAUGGGCAGGUUGAAGGUUGGGUAACACUAACUGGAGGACCGAACCGACUAAUGUUGAAAAAUUAGCGGAUGACCUGUGGCUGGGGGUGAAAGGCCAAUCAAACCGGGAGAUAGCUGGUUCUCCCCGAAAGCUAUUUAGGUAGCGCCUCGUGAAUUCAUCUCCGGGGGUAGAGCACUGUUUCGGCUAGGGGGCCAUCCCGGCUUACCAACCCGAUGCAAACUGCGAAUACCGGAGAAUGUUAUCACGGGAGACACACGGCGGGUGCUAACGUCCGUCGUGAAGAGGGAAACAACCCAGACCGCCAGCUAAGGUCCCAAAGUCAUGGUUAAGUGGGAAACGAUGUGGGAAGGCCCAGACAGCCAGGAUGUUGGCUUAGAAGCAGCCAUCAUUUAAAGAAAGCGUAAUAGCUCACUGGUCGAGUCGGCCUGCGCGGAAGAUGUAACGGGGCUAAACCAU
RNAcentral lists this ribosomal RNA (673 nucleotides) under Salmonella enterica subsp. enterica serovar Typhimurium. Its description in RNAcentral is "partial 23S ribosomal RNA". It matches the Rfam family "Bacterial large subunit ribosomal RNA", at positions 518 to 1190 of the family's 2925-position model. The record is from RNAcentral. Lineage: Bacteria; Pseudomonadati; Pseudomonadota; Gammaproteobacteria; Enterobacterales; Enterobacteriaceae.